This 200-nucleotide ribosomal RNA is filed under the name uncultured Glomus. RNAcentral describes it as "partial small subunit ribosomal RNA". It matches the Rfam family "Eukaryotic small subunit ribosomal RNA", at positions 591 to 797 of the family's 1831-position model. Lineage: Eukaryota; Fungi; Glomeromycota; Glomeromycetes; Glomerales; Glomeraceae. The record is from RNAcentral.
CCAAUAGCGUAUAUUAAAGUUGUUGCAGUUAAAAAGCUCGUAGUUGAAUUUCGGAAUCAAUAUGUCGGUCGUGCCUUGGUACGUACUGGUAUCAUUGGUUUCUCCUUUCUGACGAACCAUGAUGUCAUUAAUUUGGUGUUAUGGGAAGUUAGGACUGUUACUUUGAAAAAAUUAGAGUGUUUAAAGCAGGCUUUGGCUUG